ACCACCACCACCACCCCCCCAACAAACAGCUUUCAUUUAAAUCUGUUUGGCAUCUUUGUUCACCUUACAAGUGACUUCUAGUGGGAGUUUUUUUCCCGACUUCAAAGAAAAAGUGAAGGCUUUGAGACCACACUGAUGAUGCAUAAUUCAUUUUUAUGGAGCUUCACUGUUCUGCCAAAGAGAAAUGGGGAGGAGGAAAAAAAAAAAAAGG
Long non-coding RNA from Thunnus maccoyii (southern bluefin tuna), 211 nucleotides. RefSeq lists it as uncharacterized. The record is from RefSeq and is a predicted model, not a curated record. Lineage: Eukaryota; Metazoa; Chordata; Actinopteri; Scombriformes; Scombridae. The transcript has 3 exons.